Long non-coding RNA from Bactrocera latifrons, 342 nucleotides. RefSeq lists it as uncharacterized. NCBI's taxonomy places the organism in Eukaryota, Metazoa, Arthropoda, Insecta, Diptera, Tephritidae. The transcript is spliced from 2 exons. The record is from RefSeq and is a predicted model, not a curated record.
CAAUUCGACAGUCUUAGCCUGGUCGGUGUGACGAGUACAACACAAACGCUUUGAGGUACGGAACGCGUGCGCACGUUAUCGUCGGACGUCGGUUAAAAAAGUUUUGUACUUUGCUUUGCUUGGAGUUUAGAGUGUGCGCGUAUUUAGUGGUCUUGUACGAGUGUGUGUAUGUUUGUGUGUGCAUGUGCGUGAACACGAGUCGAAGACGAGUAUACGAGCCUAAAAUUGCGGAAUGAUUACGCAAAAAUCAAACAGCCCGAACAGCGAUAGGAGCGGCUAUUAAAUAUUGGAUCCGCACAAUAUAUUUGGCAAAACAAAAUAAAAAAUAUAAAAAACCCAGAA